RNAcentral lists this unclassified non-coding RNA (174 nucleotides) under uncultured fungus. RNAcentral's name for it is "sequence contains ITS1, 5.8S rRNA gene". The record is from RNAcentral. Lineage: Eukaryota; Fungi.
GUUUUUUUUAAUAAAAAAAAAUGUCAUCCAUAGUCAUCUUUUGGGGUGUGCAGGCGCAGCCAGAGCCGCUCCCACAACCACCCCACACAACACUCACAGUGCACAGUGGUAUACAGACCCACAAGGGGCCCAUACAAAUCAGCAAUGAUCCUUCCGCAGGUUCACCUACGGAAA